UACGUAGGGUGCGAGCGUUAAUCGGAAUUACUGGGCGUAAAGCGUGCGCAGGCGGUGAGUUAAGUCUGAUGUUAAAGCCCCGGGCUCAACCUGGGAAUGGCAUUGGAAACUGGCCCGCUGGAGUAUGGCAGAGGGGGGUGGAAUUCCGCGUGUAGCAGUGAAAUGCGUAGAGAUGAGGAGGAACACCGAUGGCGAAGGCAGCCCCCUGGGCCAAUACUGACGCUGAGGCACGAAAGCGUGGGGAGCAAACAGG
RNAcentral lists this ribosomal RNA (253 nucleotides) under uncultured bacterium. RNAcentral's name for it is "partial 16S ribosomal RNA". It matches the Rfam family "Bacterial small subunit ribosomal RNA", at positions 524 to 776 of the family's 1533-position model. The record is from RNAcentral.